UCAAGCCUUGGCUGGGAAAUUUGGACUGACUUGGCCUUUGCUUCUCACAGCCUCUCACUUUCAGCAGGUUUGGCAGGGACUAUCCACAGAAUAGCCUGGGCAGAAGUUCAAGAAAGAGCAGAAACAUGCAUGGUCUCUUAAGGUCUGGGCUUGAAACUUAAAUUUUAACUAUGCUCCGCUUUUUGUUGUUGGUGGUGGUGUUUUUGUUUUUGUUUUUGCCAAAGUAAAUCUCAAGACUGGUCCUGAGUUAUGAGGGGAAAUAUACUCUUCCUCUCCACAGGAGGUGCUGUAAAGUCGCAUUGUGAAGCUUGUGGAUAGAGGGAGGCCACACCAUCAGUUACAGGAGAUCCUGACCUGCUCUAACACACAUCUUGGAAUCCGUUUUUCUGACUGCCGGAGCAACCCAGAAGCCCUUUCCUUCCCGCAGCUACAAGGCAGCUUCCGCAGGCGCAGGUAGCCGGCAUGGAGGGUGGCCUCCGGCACGCCGGUGCCAUGUCCCUGGCCCCUUGGGCCACUGGCCACGGGACAGUGAGGGGAUUGUCCCUCCCUACUGAAUAAUCAACAUUUGGGGCCCAUUAUUUUCCAUAAUUAUUGUAAUAUAACUCAAUAAAACUAAAUGCUUUAUUUGUG
This is a long non-coding RNA of Lemur catta (Ring-tailed lemur), 630 nucleotides long. RefSeq lists it as uncharacterized. NCBI's taxonomy places the organism in Eukaryota, Metazoa, Chordata, Mammalia, Primates, Lemuridae. The transcript is spliced from 2 exons. The record is from RefSeq and is a predicted model, not a curated record.